UUCCCGAAGGUGAACCUGCGGAGGGAUCAUUACCGAGUUUACAACUCCCAAACCCCUGUGAACAUACCACUUGUUGCCUCGGCGGAUCAGCCCGCUCCCGGUAAAACGGGACGGCCCGCCAGAGGACCCCUAAACUCUGUUUCUAUAUGUAACUUCUGAGUAAAACCAUAAAUAAAUCAAAACUUUCAACAACGGAUCUCUUGGUUCUGGCAUCGAUGAAGAACGCAGCAAAAUGCGAUAAGUAAUGUGAAUUGCAGAAUUCAGUGAAUCAUCGAAUCUUUGAACGCACAUUGCGCCCGCCAGUAUUCUGGCGGGCAUGCCUGUUCGAGCGUCAUUUCAACCCUCAAGCACAGCUUGGUGUUGGGACUCGCGUUAAUUCGCGUUCCUCAAAUUGAUUGGCGGUCACGUCGAGCUUCCAUAGCGUAGUAGUAAAACCCUCGUUACUGGUAAUCGUCGCGGCCACGCCGUUAAACCCCAACUUCUGAAUGUUGACCUCGGAUCAGGUAGGAAUACCCGCUGAAUUA
This 524-nucleotide ribosomal RNA is filed under the name Fusarium oxysporum. RNAcentral describes it as "eukaryotic LSU rRNA". The stretch from base 181 to 334 matches the Rfam family "5.8S ribosomal RNA". Lineage: Eukaryota; Fungi; Ascomycota; Sordariomycetes; Hypocreales; Nectriaceae. The record is from RNAcentral.